AUUCAGAUAAAAUUGAAGAUAAAGCUGCUGCUGCAAAACGGCUUGAGUUUCAGCUUGGAUGGUAGUUCGUCUUGGACUUUUUCGGAUGAGAUUCUGUUAUGUCAAUUGGUUUCUGAGCUAUUUAUAACUCACUGAAUUGUCCGUAUGCACACAUAUUCAUAUUUUCUGUUUGUUUGUGCCCUGGAGUUUUCAAGGGUCCAGGGGAAGGGUUGGGUUGGAGUUGCCUUUGCUGAGGGAAGGGACAUAAAGAUGAGGAGCCAUCAAAUAAUUCUUGAACCUCUUUGUUUUUUAGUUUAGUAAUUUAAACUGAAAACAGGUUACAUCAUUGGACUCUGUAUGGCUCUAGGCCACUUUUAUCAUAAGCCAUAUCAUUUAGUCUAGCGGGUGAGAGAAUCAUGAAAUAUAACAAUGAAAAUGCAAUACCAAAUUUUAUACCUCACAUUGGUUAUUUAACUCCACCCAUAACAAAGACAUGCUCUGAUGUUGUUCAACCCAAAGGCAGGUAGCAUGCAAAUGCCUGGAAAAUAUUUUUAGAUCAUCUCCAGUCCCUUAAUGAUUUCUCUUUAUUAUUCUUCUGUUACUCUUUCCAAUACAGGUAUUUGCAUCCUUUAUAUUAUGGAGACUAUCCUGAAGUUAUGCGUAAAAUACUGGGAGAUGGGCUCCCAAAAUUCUCAGAGGAAGAUAAGGAAUUACUUAGGAACUCACUUGACUUCAUUGGUCUAAAUCACUAUUCUUCAAGAUUCAUUAAGCAUGUUACAGAUAGCCCUGCAGAAUGCUAUUACUAUAAAGCCCAAGAAAUUGAGAGACUUGCUAAAUGGGAAGAUGGUGAGCCAAUCGGCGAGAGGGCAGCAUCAGAAUGGCUCUAUGUUUGUCCUUGGGGACUUCGGAAGGUUCUCAAUUACAUAGUCCAGAGAUACAAUAAUCCCAUAAUUUAUGUUACUGAGAAUGGUAUGGAUGAUGAAGACUCCAGUGCCCCUCUCCAUGAAAUGCUAGAUGACAAACUGAGAGUUAGCUAUUUUAAAGGAUACCUUGCUGCAGUUGCUCAGGCAAUCAAAGACGGAGCAGAUGUGAGGGGAUAUUUUGCAUGGUCAUUGUUGGACAAUUUUGAAUGGGCUCAAGGUUAUACCAAGCGUUUUGGUUUGAUCUAUGUGGAUUACAAGAAUGGACUUGCUCGCCACCCAAAGUCUUCUGCUUAUUGGUUCAUGAGGUUCUUGAAAGGUGAUGAAGGGAAAAAUGGCAAAGAGUGACUCACUUGUACUGUAACAGGAAGCCCAGUUCUGAUUUUCAGUUUGUUUUCAUUAUAUUACCUGAUAAUUGGCCAAGUAUUGUACUUUUGGCAGAAGGGUUUUGUACUUUUAUCUCUCCCCCUUUGUUAUAAUGAGACAAAUUCCGUAUGUCUCUUUGUUGGGUAAGACAAAUUAAUAAGACUACUCACCCUCUAAAUAGAGUGACUUUAUUGUAUCCUAGUCUUCAAGUUUUUGAAAGAGCCCCUAAGCUUGUUAGUUCCUGUUCUAUAUUGUCAUAUUUCUCAAUAUUUUUUCAUUUAGCAUUUUAUGUCCCAAGUCUGGUUCUAAAUUUAGGGCCUAAGUUGGCGUAUCGAAG
RNAcentral lists this unclassified non-coding RNA (1602 nucleotides) under Hevea brasiliensis (rubber tree). Lineage: Eukaryota; Viridiplantae; Streptophyta; Magnoliopsida; Malpighiales; Euphorbiaceae. The record is from RNAcentral.